Molecule: ribosomal RNA, 251 nt
Filed under: uncultured bacterium
Lineage: Bacteria
Description: partial 16S ribosomal RNA
Rfam family: Bacterial small subunit ribosomal RNA
Source: RNAcentral
UACGUAGGGUGCAAGCGUUGUCCGGAAUUAUUGGGCGUAAAGAGCUCGUAGGCGGUCUGUCGCGUCGGCUGUGAAAACCCGGGGCUCAACCCCGGGCCUGCAGUCGAUACGGGCAGACUAGAGUGCGGUAGGGGAGACUGGAAUUCCUGGUGUAGCGGUGAAAUGCGCAGAUAUCGGGAGGAACACCGGUGGCGAAGGCGGCGAGUCUGGUCGAUACUGACGCUGAGGUGCGAAAGCGUGGGGAGCAAACA